GGGGGACUGGCGCAACGGUAGCGCGUCGGAUUCCAGAGUUAGCGCUCGGAAAAACCCGAAGGGUGUCCGUUCGAAUCGGGCGUUCCUCA
RNAcentral lists this transfer RNA (89 nucleotides) under Ophiocordyceps sinensis. It matches the Rfam family "tRNA". Rfam says of the family: Transfer RNA (tRNA) molecules are approximately 80 nucleotides in length. Lineage: Eukaryota; Fungi; Ascomycota; Sordariomycetes; Hypocreales; Ophiocordycipitaceae. RNAcentral also lists the same sequence under 1 other name. The record is from Rfam by way of RNAcentral.